Molecule: non-coding RNA, 90 nt
Filed under: Desulfuribacillus alkaliarsenatis
Lineage: Bacteria; Bacillati; Bacillota; Desulfuribacillia; Desulfuribacillales; Desulfuribacillaceae
Description: c-di-GMP sequence
Rfam family: c-di-GMP-I riboswitch aptamer
About the family: GEMM was predicted in a large-scale screen for bacterial structured RNA regulatory elements. Genes associated with GEMM are involved in a diverse array of functions, including chemotaxis regulation, signal transduction, secretion and chitin.
Source: Rfam by way of RNAcentral
UUCAGAAAAUAGCAAACUGACUGAAAGGUCAGGACGCAAAGCUAUGGGUCUAAGUCUAUGUAAUAUAGAUAUGAUAGCCAAGUUGCCUAA